UGAUCUCGUGGCCUAGUGGUUAGAGCGUCCGUCUUUGAUGCAGGAGGUCGCUGGUUCGAACCCCAGCCAAGUCAU
This is a non-coding RNA of Potamilus streckersoni, 75 nucleotides long. The record is from the annotation of a GenBank genome assembly. Lineage: Eukaryota; Metazoa; Mollusca; Bivalvia; Unionida; Unionidae.